Molecule: long non-coding RNA, 2913 nt
Filed under: Homo sapiens (human)
Lineage: Eukaryota; Metazoa; Chordata; Mammalia; Primates; Hominidae
Description: HSALNT0404243
Source: RNAcentral
UGCUGUUUAAAAUGAAUGGAUCUCUAUUUCAAGAUGGCAUGUCUAGUACACUUACGUGCACCGCCUCACAAGCACACUGAAAUGACAGAAAAGGUAAGAAAAUAGAUGCAUAGACAAAAGAUUACAGAGAAAGGUGCUAUUAACAAAUGUGUUAUGUUACAGUUUCUUGGAACUUCCCAAGCAGAUGGGAAUUAUGAAACCAAAAGAAAAAUGACAUUCAUAGAAGAAGAAAUAAAAUUUGCCAAUAAGGUUAUUAAUAGAUGUUUAACAUCACUAACUGGACAUACUGCCAGUUGAAACAAUGAUGGCUGGGUGCAGUGGCUCACACCUGUAAUUCCGGCACUUUGGGAGGCUGAGGCAGGAGGACUGUUUGAGCCCAAGAGUCUGAGACCAGCCUGGGCAACAUAGCGAAACCCUGUCUCUACAAAAAAUACAAAAAUUAGCUGGGUGUGGUGGUGUCUGCCUGUAGUCUUGGCUACUCAGGAGGCUAAGGUGGGAGGAUCACUUGAGCCCAGGAGGACAAGACUGCAGUGAGCCGUGACUGUGCCACUGCAUACCAGCUUGGGCAACAGAGCAGAGCUGUUUCAAAACAAAACAAAACAAAACAGAACAGAAGAACAGAACAGAACAGAACAGGACACAAUGAGAACAUUUUUCAUCCAUCCAAUUGGCAAAUAAUUUCUAGAGCUGGUGAGAAGAUGGGGAAAUUGGAAUGUUUGGUCCCCGCUGGUGGGUGUGUUGUUGGUACAGCAUUUUUGGAUGGCAAUUUGGCAGUAUCAAGAUUUUAGGUGAAUAUACUCUUAGACCUAACAACUUCUUCUUAGAACGAACCUACAAAAAAUAGACAAGGAUAAGUGCAACGAUGUUCACUGUGGCGUGGGUUAGUAACAAUAAAACCUCCUAAACAUCUGCCAAAGGAAUAAUGGUUAAAUAAGGUAUGGCACGUGCAGUCUGUGGAAUUCCAGGCAGUUAUUAUAGACAAUGAGCUGGAUCCAUGUGAACUGAUGGGGAAGGAUGUUCCCACUACAGAAUAUAAGCACAUGAGGGCAGGGUUUUGCAUUUGCUUCCUCCUGUCUCCCUAAUGCCUAGAACAGUGUCAGACACAUAGUGCAUGCUCAGAAAGUAUUUGUCAAAUGAAUGGAUACACUUUCUAGGACACUAUGAAUUAGGACAAUGGACUGAAAAAUAAGCAGAAAAUUUAAACACACCAGUGACCACAGUGCAACUGCAACUGACGAUCAGUUUCCACCAAACUGCAACAGAGAGAGUGGCUUUGCCGGUGAGUUCUGUCAAACUACUGUGUUAUUUAAACAUUAUUUGGCCUUACAACUAAGGUGAGGCCCUUGGGCCUCUACUGAAGGCCCAAUGUGUUCAACAAGGGCUCUCCAUGCUGCCUAAGGGAACACAUCUGAUUUGCAGCCCUGAAUGAACUCUGGGACUCAUUCAUCAUGCAUGUACUUUCCUCAGAAGUUGCUCUUACCCAGCCUUGCGGGGCUGCAGCCAGAUCUCCCACGAGUGGUAAUGUAACAUGAAAACAAUGAGCCACAUCUUCAAAAUUCCAAAGGAAAAUGACCCUCAACCUAGAGUUUCCUAUCUAGGCAAGUAUUAAUCAAGUGUAAGGGCAGAAUAAUGACACUUCCAGAUGAGAGGUAUACAAAUUUACCUUACCUGCACCCAUUUACAAGAAGCUAGUGAAGGUUGUGCUCUUUAAAACAUGAUGGAAUUUACCAAGAAAGAGGAGGACUUGGCUUAGGAAAGAGAAGAUCCAGUAGAGAAGGGGAGUGACAGGAAUCUGCAGGAAAUGAUGAAGGGCAAUCCCAGGAUGUUAGCUGCACACCAGAGAUGAGGAGACAGACUAGGACCCCUGCUCCAUUAGACCUCCAGGUCCCAAACACCAGGUGAGCCAGGGCCUUGGCCUGUCUUGCCCAUGGCUGAUGAAGUGUUGUACUCUCUAUCAAACCCUGCAGUCUGGGCCAGCUGAGGACUCUCCUUGGAACCCAAAGAAGCAGUUUGUUUCCACCUACUCCCAAGAGCUGAAGAUUAUAAGCCAGAAGCAAACAAAGGCAGGCAAGGAAAUUUGAGGUUGUUGCAUCUGGAAGUAAACAUGUAGCUACUUCUUCUAAUAAAACAGAGGUCAGCAACCGAGAGCAGGAAGGAGGCACAGCAACAACAGAACAACAACAAGAGGCUGCGACAGGGGCGGCGUGGGUCAAAAGGAAGCAACCUGGAGGACGGUCCUCCUUGCGGCUUGGAGCAGAGCUUCAGGUUGGGCACCACGACAGAGCUGGGCCAGAAGUCUAACACAGCCUGUUUGGAACACAACCCGGGAUACUUGUGUGGUUGGGUUCAGUCAGUCAAGGGAAACAAGAAGCUAACCCGUGGCUGGGAGUGUUCAUGCAAUGCUCGUGGAAUACUCAGCGCAAAGCCUGCCCGCAAGCACAAAGGGUAUCAAGGAAGAGUUAAAUGGGAAGUUGGGUCAUGGUGUGGAAUCAUAUUAAGCUCUUAGGUGCUCUGACCCUGGAGGAGAGGGAUUUCACUGAGAUGAGAAGGAUGCGUGAUGGGAUCCAUGGGCACUGGAGGCUUAUAUUUCCCUCUCAUGCCAUGCUCAAGUGAUGGGAGGGCAGAGGCAUGAGAGGGUGCUAAGGGACUAAACGCCAUGGCCACAGGAGCUCUGGCCAAGGCCCCAGGAGUCAAGAAGUGCACAGAGGGCAUGGAUGCGUUGGAAAGGGGAGGUGCUGGCCUUUUAAAGAUCAUAUGGCUUGGACAAGGAACAUGCAUGAGAGAAGUACUGGACUUUUCAUUUCCUGCCCUGGGCCUUGCCAGUGGAGGAGCACUGAGAUCUGCUAUAAUCAACACUCUUAUUGGAAGCAUUACUGUUCCGUGAAAAAUCGCCUGUGCCUGGGCUUCUCUUGC